GCAAACAGGAUUAGAUACCCUGGUAGUCCACGCCCUAAACGAUGUACACUAGUUGUUGUGAGGCUAGACCUUGCAGUAAUGCAGUUAACACAUUAAGUGUACCGCCUGGGGAGUACGGUCGCAAGAUUAAAACUCAAAGGAAUAGACGGGGACCCGCACAAGCGGUGGAGCAUGUGGUUUAAUUCGACGAUACGCGAAGAACCUUACCUGGACUUGACAUAGAAAGAAUAACGCAGAGAUGUGAUAGUGCUAGCUUGCUAGAACUUUCAUACAGGUGCUGCACGGCUGUCGUCAGCUCGUGUCGUGAGAUGUUGGGUUAAGUCCCGCAACGAGCGCAACCCUCGUCGUUAGUUGCUAACAGUUCGGCUGAGAACUCUAACGAGACUGCCUGGGUAACCAGGAGGAAGGUGAGGACGACGUCAAGUCAUCAUGGCCCUUACGUCCAGGGCUACACACGUGCUACAAUGGGGCAUACAAAGAGCAGCGAUACCGCGAGGUGGAGCAAAUCUCAAAAAUGCCUCCCAGUUCGGAUAGUAGUCUGCAACUCGACUACUUGAAGUUGGAAUCGCUAGUAAUCGUAGAUCAGCAAUGCUACGGUGAAUACGUUCCCGGGUCUUGUACUCACCGCCCGUCACACCAUGGGAGUUGAACUCAUUCGAAGCGGGGAUGCUAAAGUAGCUACCCUCCACAGUGGAUUCAGCGACUGGGGUGAAGUCGUAACAAGGUAACCGUAGGAGAACCUGCG
This 745-nucleotide ribosomal RNA is filed under the name marine metagenome. RNAcentral describes it as "bacterial SSU rRNA". It matches the Rfam family "Bacterial small subunit ribosomal RNA", at positions 768 to 1516 of the family's 1533-position model. The record is from RNAcentral.